GACGAACGCUGGCGGCGUGCCUAAUACAUGCAAGUAGAACGCAGUUGCGAACGGGUGAGUAACGCGUAGGUAACCUGCCUCAUAGCGGGGGAUAACUAUUGGAAACGAUAGCUAAUACCGCAUACUGUGAGAUGGACCUGUGUUGUAUUAGCUAGUUGGUGAGGUAAAGGCUCACCAAGGCGACGAUACAUAGCCGACCUGAGAGGUGGCUCGGCGACACGGGAACUGAGACACGGCCCAGACUCCUACGGGAGGCAGCAGUGGGGAAUAGUGCACAAUGGGCGCAAGCCUGAUGCAGCCAUGCCGCGUGUAUGAAGAAGGCAUUCGGGUUGUAAAGUACUUUCAGCGGGGAGGCGUUACCCGCAGAAGAAGCACCGGCUAACUCCGUGCCAGCAGCCGCGGUAAUAC
This 408-nucleotide ribosomal RNA is filed under the name uncultured bacterium. Its description in RNAcentral is "partial 16S ribosomal RNA". It matches the Rfam family "Bacterial small subunit ribosomal RNA", at positions 28 to 526 of the family's 1533-position model. The record is from RNAcentral.